CGUAUGCUCUGCAGCCUUGCCUCAACCCUUAAUAUUAGUGCUUUUUACAGUGAAUUAUAUGGCUUAACCCUUUCCCCCUCUGUUAGAUCUUCAUCCACUGUAGUACAGUGGUGUGCCAUCCCUCCUCUGGCUCCUGUGAGCAAAGCUGCACUAGGAAAAGAAGAGACACGCACGUCAAGACCAUCUCUAGUGGGCAAACUGUGGUGUCUAGUGGAGAAGUUAACCUGGUCAAGUGAAUUUUAGUGUUUUAAUAAACUUCAUGAAACUCAA
Long non-coding RNA from Rhinichthys klamathensis goyatoka, 270 nucleotides. RefSeq lists it as uncharacterized. The record is from RefSeq and is a predicted model, not a curated record. Lineage: Eukaryota; Metazoa; Chordata; Actinopteri; Cypriniformes; Leuciscidae. The transcript has 2 exons.